This 69-nucleotide transfer RNA is filed under the name Heterocephalus glaber (naked mole-rat). It matches the Rfam family "tRNA". Rfam says of the family: Transfer RNA (tRNA) molecules are approximately 80 nucleotides in length. Lineage: Eukaryota; Metazoa; Chordata; Mammalia; Rodentia; Bathyergidae. The record is from Rfam by way of RNAcentral.
GGGAAUGUAACUCAGCGGCACAGUGCCUGCCUGGCAAGCACGAGGACCUGAGUUUGAUUCUCUGUACCA